UUCUUGGUUCCUUGUUUAGUUGAAUCAGGGCUUCUGAGAGAAAGAGUCGCCAUUUUUAUUUGUUUGGGGUUUUGAUGUAGCUUAUUAAUUAGCUUGAUUGCUACUUGUUAGGCAUUUUUCAGAAUUUGUGAUGGGUCUUAGUUGGUUCGGUUUGGCGGUUCGUGAGCUUGCUAUUAUUCUUGACGAAUUUCGAUGCUGAAAGACUUGGAAACCAUGCUGUCCACCACGUCGAGAAGUUGAGUAACAUUCUGUGUGUUCAAUGGCUCCCCUUAAUAAAAGGAACUGAAGCCAUCCAUCUAGGGCUUCCAUCCAAUCAUGCAGGCUGCAUGGAAGUCACAUUUACCUUUUGUGUGAACAUCAUGAACACAUACACCAUUUGAAGGUUCAUGUUUUCAUAGCAGUGGUGUUGCUGUCCAAUGUGGCGUGUUGUUGCAGCCUAUGGUGGUGAAAGAUAUCUGCAUCAAGUUGCUGUUUCUUGUGCAUCCAAGGUGCUGGUUUUGUGCUACAGAAGUUACAUCCAGUAUUGUGUUUUAUUGCUAAUUGUUUCUUUGCAGUUUACCUUUUAUAUAUUGAGAAGGAACAAAAAAAAAGUAAUACGGGGAGUUUUAUGUCAAACAAAUAAUAAACAUGUCCGCGAUUGGGGAAUGAGGAGGAAGUUGGGGUGGGAUAUUUGAUUAUCAUUUACUAAAAGAAGUUAGGUAUAUUUUAUUAUUUUUAAUGAAUAUGCAGGUGAUAAAAUCUGUUGUUAACCCAUAUAACCUUCUCCACUUACACAUCCAUUCCUCAAACCCCAUAAUUUCCAACAUCUAAUUGUCACAAUUGUUGUAUAAUCAUAUCAUAUAUAAAUAAAUAAAAUGUCAUUGUAUAUAAAA
This is a long non-coding RNA of Daphnia pulex (common water flea), 872 nucleotides long. RefSeq lists it as uncharacterized. The record is from RefSeq and is a predicted model, not a curated record. The transcript is spliced from 4 exons. Lineage: Eukaryota; Metazoa; Arthropoda; Branchiopoda; Diplostraca; Daphniidae.